Molecule: ribosomal RNA, 642 nt
Filed under: uncultured Selenomonas sp.
Lineage: Bacteria; Bacillati; Bacillota; Negativicutes; Selenomonadales; Selenomonadaceae
Description: bacterial SSU rRNA
Rfam family: Bacterial small subunit ribosomal RNA
Source: RNAcentral
ACGAGACGAUUGAAAGCUUGCUUUUGAAAGUCGAGUGGCAAACGGGUGAGUAACGCGUAGACAACCUGCCUUUGAGAUGGGGACAACAGUUCGAAAGGACUGCUAAUACCGAAUGUUGUGUAUUUCCCACAUGGGAGAUACAUUAAAGAUGGCCUCUAUUUAUAAGCUAUCGCUCAAAGAUGGGUCUGCGUCUGAUUAGCUAGUUGGUGGGGUAAUGGCCUACCAAGGCAACGAUCAGUAGCCGGUCUGAGAGGAUGAACGGCCACAUUGGGACUGAGACACGGCCCAGACUCCUACGGGAGGCAGCAGUGGGGAAUCUUCCACAAUGGACGAAAGUCUGAUGGAGCAACGCCGCGUGAGUGAAGAAGGGUUUCGGCUCGUAAAGCUCUGUUGUCGGGGACGAACGUGAGAUACUUGAAUAAAGUGUCUCAAUGACGGUACCUGACGAGGAAGCCACGGCUAACUACGUGCCAGCAGCCGCGGUAAUACGUAGGUGGCAAGCGUUGUCCGGAAUUAUUGGGCGUAAAGGGAGCGCAGGCGGGAAGGUAAGUCGGUCUUAAAAGUGCGGGGCUCAACCCCGUGAUGGGAUCGAAACUAUCUUUCUUGAGUGCAGGAGAGGAAAGUGGAAUUCCUAGUGUAGCG